This 253-nucleotide ribosomal RNA is filed under the name uncultured bacterium. RNAcentral's name for it is "partial 16S ribosomal RNA". It matches the Rfam family "Bacterial small subunit ribosomal RNA", at positions 524 to 776 of the family's 1533-position model. The record is from RNAcentral.
GACGUAGGGCGCGAGCGUUGUCCGGAUUUAUUGGGCGUAAAGAGCUCGUAGGCGGCUUGUUGCGUCGUCCGUGAAAACCUGGGGCUCAACUCCAGGCUUGCGGACGAUACGGGCAGGCUAGAGUUCGGUAGGGGAGACUGGAAUUCCUGGUGUAGCGGUGAAAUGCGCAGAUAUCAGGAGGAACACCGGUGGCGAAGGCGGGUCUCUGGGCCGAUACUGACGCUGAGGAGCGAAAGCGUGGGGAGCGAACAGG